This 2884-nucleotide ribosomal RNA is filed under the name Bacteroidales bacterium. RNAcentral describes it as "23S ribosomal RNA". It matches the Rfam family "Bacterial large subunit ribosomal RNA". Lineage: Bacteria; Pseudomonadati; Bacteroidota; Bacteroidia; Bacteroidales. The record is from RNAcentral.
AAGAAAGUAAAUAAGAGCGUAUGGCGAAUGCCUUGGCUCUCAGAGGCGAUGAAGGACGUGACAGGCUGCGAUAAGUUCCGGUUAGGUGCCUAUAACCGUUUAACCCGGAAAUUUCCGAAUGGGGAAACCCACCUGGAUGAAGACCAGGUAUCCGCUUCGGCGGAAGCAAACCCGGAGAACUGAAACAUCUAAGUACCCGGUGGAAAAGAAAACAAUAGUGAUUCCCUGAGUAGUGGCGAUCGAAAGGGGAACAGCCUAAACCACAAUAGUUUCGGCUUUUGUGGGGUUGUAGGACUGCGACGUGGAUUCUAAUAAGGAAAUAGAAAUUCCUGGAAAGUUAUACCAUAGAAGGUGAAAGUCCUGUAUAUGUAACUUAUUAUUAUCCUAGCAGUAUCCUGAGUAGUGCGGGACACGAGAAAUCCUGUAUGAAUCUGCCAGGACCAUCUGGUAAGGCUAAAUACUCCUGAGAGACCGAUAGUGAACCAGUACCGUGAGGGAAAGGUGAAAAGCACCCUGAACAAGGGAGUGAAAUAGUACCUGAAACCAUACGCUUACAAACGGUCGGAGUCCCGAAAAAUUUCGGGAUGACGGCGUGCCUUUUGCAUAAUGAGCCUACGAGUUACUCCUCACUAGCAAGGUUAAGUCCUUAAGGGAUGAAGCCGAAGCGAAAGCAAGUCUGAAUAGGGCGUCUAGUUAGUGGGGGUAGACGCGAAACUUGGUGAUCUACCCAUGGCCAGGUUGAAGUACCGGUAAAACGGUAUGGAGGACCGAACCAGUAUACGUUGAAAAGUGUUUGGAUGAGUUGUGGGUAGGGGUGAAAGGCCAAUCAAACCAAGAAAUAGCUCGUACUCCCCGAAAUGCAUUUAGGUGCAGCCUCGUGUAAAGUCUCAUAGAGGUAGAGCUACUGAUAAGGCUAGAGGGCUUCACCGCCUAUCAACCCUUGACAAACUCCGAAUGCUAUGAGAUGUUUCACGGGAGUGAGGCGUUGGGUGCUAAGGUCCGGCGCCGAGAGGGAAACAACCCAGACCAUCAGCUAAGGUCCCUAAAUGUAUACUAAGUUGUUCUAACGUGGUGCGACUGCCUUGACAGCUAGGAUGUUGGCUUGGAAGCAGCCAUUCAUUUAAAGAGUGCGUAACAGCUCACUAGUCGAGCGGUUGUGCGUGGAUGAUAAUCGGGCAUUAAGUAUACUACCGAAGCUAUGGACUCACCUUCGGGUGAGUGGUAGGGGAGCAUUCCAGUUGCAUCGAAGAUAGAUCGUAAGAUCUGUUGGAGCGGCUGGAAAAGAAAAUGUAGGCAUAAGUAACGAUAAAGCGGGUGAGAAACCCGCUCACCGAUAGACUAAGGUUUCCUGAUCAACGCUAAUCGGAUCAGGGUUAGUCGGGUCCUAAGAUGUAUUCGAACGGAAAAGUCGAUGGACAACAGGUUAAUAUUCCUGUACUAGCAUAAAUUGCGAUGGGGUGACGAAGGAGUGAAAGGUCCGCGUACUGACGGAAUAGUACGUUAAAGGGUGUAGGUAUAUGGUCGGGUUAAUAGCUUGAUCAUGCUGAACCUGAUAGUACCGUGAGUCUUCGGACAAGCGGAUAGUGACUCUAAACAUACUUCCAAGAAAAACCUCUAAGCUUCAGAUUUAUGCUACCCGUACCGCAAACCGACACAGGUAGUCAAGGAGAGAAUCCUAAGGUGCUCGAGUGAUUCAUGGCUAAGGAACUAGGCAAAAUCGACCUGUAACUUCGGGAGAAAGGUCGCCCUGAGCAAUCAGGGCCGCAGUGAAAUGACCCAGGCGACUGUUUAUCAAAAACACAAGGCUUUGCUAAAUCGUAAGAUGAUGUAUAAGGCCUGACACCUGCCCGGUGCUGGAAGGUUAAGGGGGGGAGUUAUCUUCGGAGACGCUCUGAACCGAAGCCCCAGUAAACGGCGGCCGUAACUAUAACGGUCCUAAGGUAGCGAAAUUCCUUGUCGGGUAAGUUCCGACCUGCACGAAUGGUGUAACGAUCUGGGUACUGUCUCAGCCAUGAGCUCGGUGAAAUUGUAGUUCCGGUGAAGAUGCCGGAUACCCGCAACGGGACGGAAAGACCCCGUGAACCUUUACUGCAGCUUAACAUUGAUUUUGGAUAAGUGAUGUGUAGGAUAGGUGGGAGACUUUGAAGCGGCUUCGUUAGGAGUCGUGGAGUCAACCUUGAAAUACCACCCUUUAUUUAUCUGGGAUCUAAUCCCUAACGGGAGACAGUGUUUGGUGGGUAGUUUGACUGGGGUGGUCGCCUCCAAAAGCGUAACGGAGGCUUUCAAAGGUACCCUCAGCAUGAAUGGUAACCAUGCGUAGAGCGCAAUGGCAUAAGGGUGCUUGACUGUGAGACUGACUAGUCGAUCAGGUACGAAAGUAGGACAUAGUGAUCCGGUGGUUCCGUAUGGAAGGGCCAUCGCUCAAAGGAUAAAAGGUACUCCGGGGAUAACAGGCUGAUCGCUCCCAAGAGCUCAUAUCGACGGAGCGGUUUGGCACCUCGAUGUCGGCUCGUCACAUCCUGGGGCUGAAGAAGGUCCCAAGGGUUGGGCUGUUCGCCCAUUAAAGUGGCACGCGAGCUGGGUUCAGAACGUCGUGAGACAGUUCGGUCCCUAUCUGUUGUGGGCGUUGGAGAUUUGAGAGGACCUGCCUCUAGUACGAGAGGACCGAGGCGGACAGACCUCUAGUGUACCUGUUGUGGCGCCAGCUGCAUCGCAGGGUAGCUACGUCUGGAAGAGAUAAGCACUGAAAGCAUCUAAGUGCGAAGCUCACCUCAAGAUGAGAUCUCCUUUAAGGGUCGUUAUAGACGAUGACGUUGAUAGGUCGCAAGUGUAAAGGCAGUAAUGUCAAAGCUGAGCGAUACUAAUUACCCGUAAGCUUUCUCUG